UACAGAGGGUGCAAGCGUUAAUCGGAAUUACUGGGCGUAAAGCGCGCGUAGGUGGUUGUGUAAGUUGGAUGUGAAAGCCCCGGGCUUAACCUGGGAACUGCAUUCAAAACUGCACGGCUAGAGUACGGGAGAGGGGGGUAGAAUUCCAGGUGUAGCGGUGAAAUGCGUAGAGAUCUGGAGGAAUACCGAUGGCGAAGGCAAUCCCCUGGGCCUGCACUGACGCUCAUGCACGAAAGCGUGGGGAGCAAACAGG
RNAcentral lists this ribosomal RNA (253 nucleotides) under uncultured bacterium. RNAcentral's name for it is "partial 16S ribosomal RNA". It matches the Rfam family "Bacterial small subunit ribosomal RNA", at positions 524 to 776 of the family's 1533-position model. The record is from RNAcentral.